RNAcentral lists this ribosomal RNA (415 nucleotides) under bacterium enrichment culture clone N3h22. Its description in RNAcentral is "bacterial SSU rRNA". It matches the Rfam family "Bacterial small subunit ribosomal RNA", at positions 96 to 524 of the family's 1533-position model. The record is from RNAcentral.
UGGCGGACGGGUGAGUAACGCGUGAGUAACCUGCCUUUCAGAGGGGGAUAACAUCCUGAAAAGGAUGCUAAUACCGCAUGACAUAUCGAGGCCGCAUGGUCUUGGUAUCAAAGGAGCAAUCCGCUGAGAGAUGGACUCGCGUCCGAUUAGCCAGUUGGCGGGGUAACGGCCCACCAAAGCGACGAUCGGUAGCCGGACUGAGAGGUUGAACGGCCACGUUGGGACUGAGACACGGCCCAGACUCCUACGGGAGGCAGCAGUGGGGGAUAUUGCACAAUGGAGGAAACUCUGAUGCAGCAACGCCGCGUGAGGGAAGAAGGUCUUCGGAUUGUAAACCUUUGUCCUUGGUGACGAAACAAAUGACGGUAGCCAAGGAGGAAGCUCCGGCUAACUACGUGCCAGCAGCCGCGGUAAU